GGAAGGGUAGCGAAGAGGCUAAACGCGGCGGACUGUAAAUCCGCUCCUUCGGGUUCGGGGGUUCGAAUCCCUCCCUUUCCA
RNAcentral lists this transfer RNA (81 nucleotides) under Streptococcus mutans. Its description in RNAcentral is "tRNA-Tyr". It matches the Rfam family "tRNA". Rfam says of the family: Transfer RNA (tRNA) molecules are approximately 80 nucleotides in length. Lineage: Bacteria; Bacillati; Bacillota; Bacilli; Lactobacillales; Streptococcaceae. The record is from RNAcentral.